AUUGAACGCUGGCGGCAGGCCUAACACAUGCAAGUCGAGCGAGAAAGGCCUUCGGGCUGAGUACAGCGGCGGACGGGUGAGUAACGCGUAGGAAUCUACCUGGUAGUGGGGGACAACAUGGGGAAACUCAUGCUAAUACCGCAUACGCCCUAUGGGGGAAAGCGGGGGACCUUCGGGCCUCGCGCUAUCAGAUGAGCCUGCGUAGGAUUAGCUUGUUGGUGAGGUAAAAGCUCACCAAGGCGACGAUCCUUAGCUGGUCUGAGAGGAUGAUCAGCCACACUGGGACUGAGACACGGGCCCAGACUCCUACGGGGAGGCAGCAGUGGGGAAUAUUGCGCAAUGGGCGAAAGCCUGACGCAGCCAUGCCGCGUGUGUGAAGAAGGCCUUAGGGUUGUAAAGCACUUUCAAUUGGGAAGAAAGGUUGUACGUUAAUAGCGUGCAGCUGUGACGUUACCUUUAGAAG
This 463-nucleotide ribosomal RNA is filed under the name uncultured bacterium. Its description in RNAcentral is "bacterial SSU rRNA". It matches the Rfam family "Bacterial small subunit ribosomal RNA", at positions 30 to 487 of the family's 1533-position model. The record is from RNAcentral.